RNAcentral lists this ribosomal RNA (2563 nucleotides) under Triticum aestivum (bread wheat). RNAcentral describes it as "partial small subunit ribosomal RNA". The record is from RNAcentral. Lineage: Eukaryota; Viridiplantae; Streptophyta; Magnoliopsida; Poales; Poaceae.
AUAUAUGAGGCGGGGCAGCGGGGUGCCGGUGGGCGAGGGACGGCGGCGGGCCAGCGGGGCGCGGGACGGCGGAGGACCGGUAGGGCGCGGAGAGGUGGCGGGCUGGUGGGGCGGGGGGCGGCCGCUGGUCGGUGGGAUGCGGGGCGGCGGAGGGCCGGUGGGGGCGCGGAGCGGCGGCGGGCCGGUGGGGCGCGGAGCGACGACGGCGGGUAGGAUGCCACCAGCGAUAAGGGUAGGGAUAGAGGCGCGUUGCGGUGGGGGUUAGCCUGGGCUGGUUUAGUGCAGCGGUACCGCGCCACAGAGGUAGAGGGCUGCUGCCUCGUCGUGGAGGGGCUGCCGCACGGAUGGUGGCGGCUGCUCCUUGAGACGGGGUUCGGAGGAGGGGGGAGGAGUGCAGGCCUACCCGUUCUAGGUCGGCCGCUACUUCGGAUAGGGUGGCCGCGUCGAGGGGUAGCGGUAACGCGACGAGGAAGGGGCGCACAGAGGUCAAGGGGAGCGACGAGUCUAACCACACGGCGCCACGGCGGUGGGUCCACAAACGUCAUUACGAACUCGUGUCGUGGUUGUCAGCGGCGCCAGUGAAGUAGGGACUUGACGGUGCGCGGCGGACGCCGGAACGAAGAAGGGGACAGAAGACGGGCCCGCUUGGGGGAAAAGAGGAGGGUCCGUGUCGACGUUGGAGGAAGAGUCAGGUUUAACUCGCGACCAACAGCAUGUUCAACCUAGGACCGAUGUCAGAAGCGGUAUCUUCGGUAGUAGGGACAAGACUUGAUGGUUGUCGGAGACGAUUACACGUGUUUUAAGUUCAAGUUAUUUUGUUUUUUACCUUCCAGUCUAUACAGGCAAGUUGGUGGCGGUUGGCUCCAGCAAGUUGCUGCGCGGCCCGUUUCUUAUAGUUCAUUUAUUCGUUGAAGCUGUACGGUUACCCUGGAAAAAUAAUUCCCGAAACUGAUGCUGACUACCUUCAACCAUAAGACACUGCAACGCGAGUCGCCGUCCUCCCGCUCCUAGAGAAGAAGAGCCGUCAUGUUGACGUGGGAGGCCGCGGCAAGUGCUCUUCUCGAUGCACGUCCGGUGGACACGAGGUGGGACCUAAAAAAGUUAUUAGUCCAGCAGCAGCAGUCCCAAGGACGGGGUGCCGUCAGUAUGACCGAGUACGCGGUGACAGCAGCCAGGAAAAAGCCAACCUCUAUCCAUCGCGGGGGUCCCUCGGGGAAGAAGUCACCAAGUAACCAGACAGUUCAUACUUCCACUCGAAGUAUUAUCUCAUCGAUCUGGAUAGGCGGAAGGUAAAAUGUUUAAAACGACCCUCGAUCUUCAUUGAUAUACAUCUUUCAACCGUAGAGACAAAUGUAUUUGUACGUAUUGUGCACACUACGAUGUAUUAAGGACCCAGGAGGAGGACAAUACGUGUUCGAGGUUAAGCAACUCUAUGAGAUACCUCCAUGAGGUAAAAUACAAAAGUUAAGUAGAAUGUUUUAUCGUCUUGUUUGAUACACAGUAAAAACAGUAAGUGCGUUCAAGUCCGUAUGGAAGACGUUUUCAAGUUUUUAGACUUCUUUGUUUCGAGUUUGGUUCAAGUCUUUGACAAAGACCUAAUUUAAUCAGCAAAACCAAUUAAGACAUCAUGUACACACAUAACACUAACAUUAACACCGAACCUCAACUCUUUUUCUAUUGUUUUUCCAUGUAUUUACUUGGGUUUUUGUAAGCCAUCAAAGACUUUCGGGUUUCAAGUCAAGUUGUACAAAAGAUAGUAGUCGAGCAAUUCUUGGGGUCUUUGCCAAGUUACACAUACUAUAUAUGAAAAAAGAAUAUCCUCCAAGUUUCUAACAGCACCUAGUUCAAUUUCUCAAAUCAUGUGGACGCAGUCAGCCGGUGGCAUCCUACAUCGAUGAUGAGAGAGUUCAGUAUCCGACGCCAACGAUGAAGAAACAUGAGCAUUAAACAAUAAAGAAACGUUGGUCUACACUGUCUGCCUACGUUCUCCGUUUCACAGGAUAAACAAUCUACAAGUCAUGUCUAAAAAGAGAUUCUUUUUUUGUUGCCCUCCGUUGUCAAAACUUACACGAUCAACAUUCAUUGAAUCAACAAUCUACCAGUAAAGUCUAAAAACAUCUACGUUGUUGAUCAAACAAACGAACACGAUCAACUUGACCAGAACCAAGUCUAUAAAGAGACUCUUUUUACUCGCGUUACUACCCGGUGAUCGAAUUAAAGAUCCGCGUGUGCUGUAGAAACCAGCGCACCAGCCGUGGUAAUAGAAUUUAUAAACAAAGACGUGAUUCAAAGAAUUACAUAAAACAAGCGUUUUAAAAUCACUUUUAAAAUGGAGUGCAAUGAGCACUAGAGCGUUGACAUACAAGUGGGCACUUCCAUAGAGAGUAACGAAUAACAAUGUAAUUAAAGGCACUAUUCUUUCCAAAUGUAAUUUUCAUUGUAGUAUAUCCUUUUUACGAAGAUAAGAUUGUGUAAAAAAAAAACCUUUUUUCUCGUGAUCAUGACUCCUCAGCAUAACUGUUCCUACGACAAAUGUUAAGACUACUCAGCAUGACUGUUCCUG